RNAcentral lists this ribosomal RNA (440 nucleotides) under uncultured bacterium. Its description in RNAcentral is "partial 16S ribosomal RNA". It matches the Rfam family "Bacterial small subunit ribosomal RNA", at positions 338 to 795 of the family's 1533-position model. The record is from RNAcentral.
CCUACGGGAGGCUGCAGUGGGGAAUAUUGCACAAUGGGGGAAACCCUGAUGCAGCGACGCCGCGUGAGUGAAGAAGUAAUUCGUUAUGUAAAGCUCUAUCAGCCGGGAAGAAAAUGACGGUACCUGAGUAAGAAGCCCCGGCUAACUACGUGCCAGCAGCCGCGGUAAUACGUAGGGGGCAAGCGGUAUCCGGAUUUACUGGGUGGAAAGGGAGCGUAGACGGCAGUGCAAGUCUGGAGUGAAAGGCGGGGGCUCAACCCCCGGACUGCUCUGGAAACUGUACGGCUGGAGUGCAGGAGAGGUAAGUGGAAUUCCUAGUGUAGCGGUGAAAUGCGUAGAUAUUAGGAGGAACACCAGUGGCGAAGGCGGCUUACUGGACUGUAACUGACGUUGAGGCUCGAAAGCGUGGGGAGCAAACAGGAUUAGAUACCCGGGUAGUC